GGCUUUUCCCCUUCCUCAGCCCUACUGGGCCUCACGUCCUGUGGCCCCAGCACCUGCUUUUUCUCUAAAGGUCAGUUUGGGGUCAGUUCUUACAGCUAAAAAACAGAGUUGUCCCUCAGCUCCAGACAUCUCCUGUAGUCUUCAUGCAGAUUUGCCAGGGCAGGAGACAGUAGAUGGAAAUGGACACCACAUGCGAGCUUAGAGCCAAUGUGACACUCCCCCUCUCUGCAAAAUGUGCAGGCUCUCUUGAGCCUUGAGUCAGAUGCUGGCCAACUAUACAGGUUUCUGCCAAGUGUGACAUCUCCUUCCUGGAGCACUGACACAGUCCCAGCAAAGCCUUGCUGUCCCUCCUGCCCAUUUCCACAGUUCCUGAAUGGUGCUAAGGAUUUGUAGCAGCUGAUGACAAGCUGAAGCCGGAGGAGGCCUCUGUACCCAGUGGGACCAUGGAAAGCUCCAAUGAGGACCUUCACCUCCCAUCAGAGGUGCUCCAACACUCGGUCAUGUGGGAAAGUCCCCACCUGCCACCUUCCUUGAGGAUUCUGUGCUUUGAAAGGCAAACUGCCUCAUGCCAGCCAGCUGAUAAGUUCACUGCUGCCCUAUGGCCCUGUGGAGCCUGUUUCCCCUAUAGCGGACCAUCCCACACCAGGCGGCUGUGGUGCUAUCCUUCCCUUACCCGUGGGGAGAUCCUUGAGUACCAGGGAGUCAUAGGUCUCCAGGGAAAGAAAUGGGGAGCUGAUACAGGUUUCUACAGUGAGGAAAAUCUACAGAUUUUUCCAGGCCUCAAACCCAGAUUUCUCUAACUCUGCUGUGAUUUGUGGCCUGGGACUUCACUAGGAGUGCAUUUUUUCUUAUAGCUUUCGAACAAGAAUUCCAGGGAGUGUCUCCAUCUGAGGCCCCUCUUCACUGGGUUAAAGAAGCCUCCAGCUGCUUUUGUGGCCCCCUAUCUCACUUCCUAUCCCCUACCUGUGAAAUGCCUUUGCAUAUUGUGCGUGAGUAUGUGUGUAUGUGUGCUUAUGCUCUCUUGGUCACUGAAUCAUUCAAAUAAAGAAUCUCUUCUUUGAGCCAGAAUACAACUUAACAGACCUGGGGUUUGGGGACAUGUUGCUAUUGGAUCUAGCGUAUCCAUCUUUUUUUUUUUUGCGGGGAGUCAGGGUUGGGGGGUUGAACCCAGAGGCCCUUUAUCACUUUAUCUCUUGAGACAGAUCCUUGCUAAGUUACUUAAGGCCUUGCUACAUUGCUGAGUCUGGCCUUGAACUUGAGAUCCUUCUGCCUCAGCCUCCAGAGUCACUGGGAUUACAGAGCUCUUCUGCAAUGUCCAGGAGGUUUCCAGGCAGGGAAGUGAAGGGCGAAGGGGUGGAAUGGACUGCCCUACCAUAAACCCUUGACCUGUGGGACCUCUUUGCCUGGAUUCAGGAAUCCCUGCCAACUGUGCAACCAGCAUUGGUGUGGGGACAGCAGAGGUGAACUCUAUUAAAGAGCAUUGUGACAAGA
This is a long non-coding RNA of Marmota monax (woodchuck), 1491 nucleotides long. RefSeq lists it as uncharacterized. The transcript is spliced from 2 exons. The record is from RefSeq and is a predicted model, not a curated record. NCBI's taxonomy places the organism in Eukaryota, Metazoa, Chordata, Mammalia, Rodentia, Sciuridae.